GGAGGGAGCUAGCGUUGUUCGGAAUUACUGGGCGUAAAGCGCACGUAGGCGGCUUUUUAAGUCAGGGGUGAAAUCCCGGAGCUCAACUCCGGAACUGCCUUUGAAACUGGGAAGCUAGAAUCUUGGAGAGGCGAGUGGAAUUCCGAGUGUAGAGGUGAAAUUCGUAGAUAUUCGGAAGAACACCAGUGGCGAAGGCGACUCGCUGGACAAGUAUUGACGCUGAGGUGCGAAAGCGUGGGGAGCAAACAGAAUUAGAUACCCUGGUAGUCCACGCCGUAAACGAUGAUAACUAGCUGUCCGGGUUCAUAGAACUUGGGUGGCGCAGCUAACGCAUUAAGUUAUCCGCCUGGGGAGUACGGUCGCAAGAUUA
RNAcentral lists this ribosomal RNA (370 nucleotides) under uncultured bacterium. RNAcentral's name for it is "bacterial SSU rRNA". It matches the Rfam family "Bacterial small subunit ribosomal RNA", at positions 527 to 896 of the family's 1533-position model. The record is from RNAcentral.